Non-coding RNA from Paralichthys olivaceus (Japanese flounder), 1820 nucleotides. NCBI's taxonomy places the organism in Eukaryota, Metazoa, Chordata, Actinopteri, Pleuronectiformes, Paralichthyidae. The record is from RefSeq and is a predicted model, not a curated record.
GAGAGAGCACUGAACCAUGUUGUCAUGCUGCACUGUUCGCCGCUCCCAUGGUGCAACACUGCAGCGAGUUGCAAACAAAGUUCAUUCGGCUGACGACAUCUGCCUCUAAAACCCUUACAAGACGAUGCCAGCAGCUUCAGGACUUAUGUAUGAAGUGCUGGAUGGGCAGUGGCUAGUGUGGCUCCAGCAUGUGUUGAUUGACAGCUACCACGUUCUGGGAACACGAGAAGUUCAAAUCCAGCUUUAUCGUCUCUUGUUCAAAAAGAAGAUCACGAUGACAGGACAGAGUUUGGAGCAGUAGAUCCUUCAAGAUCAAACCUGAACACUUCAAGAGGAUCACCCCUCUCAGCUAUGGGACACAGGCCUGCGAUGAGUUGUAACUGCUCCUUUGACCAAACCAGUGCUCAAUUCACCCUGAAGAAGAUCAUAUCUCUGGACCCUGGUCAAGUCCCCUGAAUGAGGAGAUCGCCACAGAUCAGGUUCAGUUUCUCCCUAUAGAAUGACAGUCAGUGUGCUUGUCCUGCUUAUGAUCAUUCACAUUUCCUCUGAAAACAGUGCACAGAGACAGCUGCUCUCAUGCAGAUUAGUGCAGACGCAGGCUGUUUAGCCCACUUUCCUGUUUUUAGGUUUUCGUCUGUGAUUAUUUGAAGCUUGUGUUUCCCUGCUGGCUUACUCGCCUUUCCGCUCAUACAUUUUCUCCCUUCACCUCUCUCCAUUUGUCUUCAUCCCUCUCCUCACCCCUCUCAAAAGGUCACCAGCAUCAGUGUUUGAAUUCUCUGUCGCAAAGUCAUUCAUUUGACCUUGCCAUCUGUCAGUACAGUGCUGUUCUCCUGGGUCAGCCACAUGAAACUCAUGUUAUGGUUCCUGAGGUCAAAGGGCAAAAUGGAUAUCCUUUCAAAUUCUAUUUACCCUAAAACCCAGGAGUUUGUUUGCAUAUAUGUGUAUGUGGGUCCUGUACCUCUAGCAUGUGCCAUUAGAGCCAUAUUGGGGUAUCAAAGCUGCAGUGCUGCUAGGAAUGAUGAAUGGCUGCCAGGUCCUGAGGUCCAUGCGGUAAUCACCUCAGGUAAGGGCUUUAAGCCGUGUUGGCGGGAGAACAGAAAGGGUUAAGUGGCUAUGGCGGCUCAUGGCUGUAGCCUCAUAGCCUUCCAUAGCCUCUGGCAGCUUAUUUCCCAACAUCUCCAAAGACCCAUAUGGAUGAGGCUCAGAGCUUAGACAGCAAACGGCGAGGGAUAUGGAGACAAUGCCUAAUUUCCUCCAGACCAGAAGUGGGAGCGGUGAGGAGAGAGGGACUGGGUUUGCUGGCGCCUUGGCUCCCUCCCUCCUCACUCUCAGGCUGGCUUUCCAGGGGCAGCAGAGCCAACCCAUGGAGCAGCCUGUCAGCCUAUGUCAACAUCAGUGCUGCCCCUUGCCCCUCUCCACUUCCCCCGUCCUGCAGCCCAGCACUCACAGAGGUUACACGAGCCCAGAUUUAGUGUAUGAAUAACCUAGGGCCUGGGGAGGUGUCAAAGGUGUCUGAAUCAGACCUCCCAGCAGCCCCACUCACCCCCACUAAUCUCACCACAGUUCACCGACAAGUCAUGUUUUGUAGAGGGAGUGGAGAGAGAGAGGAGAGAGAACACAUAAAAGACACUGUUACAUGCUGUCAUCAUCACGCCUGUUUCUAAAAGGCUUUUGGUCUCUAAUGUGAGCAACUGCAGCACUCAAUAGCCGCCGAGAUCAAUGGUAUCCUGUCUAGUGCUGCCUCGUAUCAUCACAAAAUGUUACUGUUGGUCUGAUGGAAAGGAAAAAUAAAAGAAAACUCUGAAUCGCUCCCCAUUCCU